UGGGGAAUAUUGGACAAUGGGCGAAAGCCUGAUCCAGCCAUGCCGCGUGUGUGAAGAAGGUCUUCGGAUUGUAAAGCACUUUAAGUUGGGAGGAAGGGCAGUAAGCGAAUACCUUGCUGUUUUGACGUUACCGACAGAAUAAGCACCGGCUAACUCUGUGCCAGCAGCCGCGGUAAUACAGAGGGUGCAAGCGUUAAUCGGAAUUACUGGGCGUAAAGCGCGCGUAGGUGGUUCGUUAAGUUGAAUGUGAAAGCCCCGGGCUCAACCUGGGAACUGCAUCCAAAACUGGCGAGCUAGAGUAGGGCAGAGGGUGGUGGAAUUUCCUGUGUAGCGGUGAAAUGCGUAGAUAUAGGAAGGAACACCAGUGGCGAAGGCGACCACCUGGGCUCAUACUGACACUGAAAUACGAAAGCGUGGGGAGCAAACAGG
This 429-nucleotide ribosomal RNA is filed under the name Pseudomonadota bacterium. RNAcentral describes it as "Proteobacteria bacterium partial 16S ribosomal RNA". It matches the Rfam family "Bacterial small subunit ribosomal RNA", at positions 355 to 776 of the family's 1533-position model. The record is from RNAcentral. Lineage: Bacteria; Pseudomonadati; Pseudomonadota.